CCUACGGGAGGCUGCAGUGGGGAAUAUUGGACAAUGGGGGGAACCCUGAUCCAGCCAUGCCGCGUGUGUGAAGAAGGCCCUCGGGUUGUAAAGCACUUUCAGUGAGGAAGAACGCCUGGUGGUUAAUACCCAUCAGGAAAGACAUCACUCACAGAAGAAGCACCGGCUAACUCCGUGCCAGCAGCCGCGGUAAUACGGAGGGUGCGAGCGUUAAUCGGAAUUACUGGGCGUAAAGCGCGCGUAGGUGGCUUAAUAAGCCGGUUGUGAAAGCCCCGGGCUCAACCUGGGAACGGCAUCCGGAACUGUCAAGCUAGAGUGCAGGAGAGGAAGGUAGAAUUCCCGGUGUAGCGGUGAAAUGCGUAGAGAUCGGGAGGAAUACCAGUGGCGAAGGCGGCCUUCUGGACUGACACUGACACUGAGGUGCGAAAGCGUGGGUAGCAAACAGGAUUAGAUACCCCGGUAGUC
RNAcentral lists this ribosomal RNA (465 nucleotides) under Vreelandella stevensii. RNAcentral describes it as "partial 16S ribosomal RNA". It matches the Rfam family "Bacterial small subunit ribosomal RNA", at positions 338 to 795 of the family's 1533-position model. Lineage: Bacteria; Pseudomonadati; Pseudomonadota; Gammaproteobacteria; Oceanospirillales; Halomonadaceae. The record is from RNAcentral.